RNAcentral lists this ribosomal RNA (282 nucleotides) under Triticum aestivum (bread wheat). Its description in RNAcentral is "partial small subunit ribosomal RNA". Lineage: Eukaryota; Viridiplantae; Streptophyta; Magnoliopsida; Poales; Poaceae. The record is from RNAcentral.
AUGAGAAAAGGAAGUGAAAAAAACUUAAGAGAUGAACUGGUAAACUCAGAGAAAGGUUCAAUUGACAUUUUAUUUGUUGUAGCAUUCACUGUAGCAUCAGCUGAACGCAGUUUCUCCAAGUUGAAUUUAUUGAGAAACUAUUUGAGAUUAUCAAUGUCACAGGAAAGAUUGAAUGGUCUUGCUACUUUAUGCAUUGAGAAAGCAAAGUUGGAUGAAAUAAAUAUUGAUGUACAUAUCCGAUCAUCAUAUUCAGGAAGCCUUGGAGACGUUUUCUUCAGGUGA